UACGUAGGGUGCGAGCGUUGUCCGGAAUUAUUGGGCGUAAAGAGCUUGUAGGCGGUUUGUCGCGUCUGCCGUGAAAAUCCGGGGCUCAACCCCGGACUUGCGGUGGGUACGGGCAGACUAGAGUGUGGUAGGGGAGACUGGAAUUCCUGGUGUAGCGGUGAAAUGCGCAGAUAUCAGGAGGAACACCGGUGGCGGAGGCGGGUCUCUGGGCCGAUACUGACGCUGAGGAGCGAAAGCGUGGGGAGCGAACAGG
This 253-nucleotide ribosomal RNA is filed under the name uncultured bacterium. RNAcentral describes it as "partial 16S ribosomal RNA". It matches the Rfam family "Bacterial small subunit ribosomal RNA", at positions 524 to 776 of the family's 1533-position model. The record is from RNAcentral.